Molecule: long non-coding RNA, 1325 nt
Organism: Cyprinus carpio carpio
Lineage: Eukaryota; Metazoa; Chordata; Actinopteri; Cypriniformes; Cyprinidae
Source: Ensembl
CCCCUCUCUCAAUGAAUCGGGUUCGCAAACGUUCUGAAUCAGUUCGCGAUUCAGUUUGAAUCAUUUGGACUGCUUACUCACGCAUUGGAUUGUUUGGAGCUGUUUCUCAUUGGGCAGUAGAAAGUUAAAAGCGUUACAAAACGCGUUUUACUUAUUAACAGAGAGCACGAAUAAGACCGCAAGAUAAACUGGAUAUUUACUUACAUCGAAACCACCAAACCCGAAAAUGCAUCUUGUCCUGAAAGCGGUGUUUUUUAUGAGUUCAUAGCCUGCGCUUGAAGCUUGUGAACGACUUCCAGGUGGAGGUGUCUAAUCUGUAAGGCAUUUUGAUAUGAGGUGCUGCAGCAAACCCGAAGCGACAAAGAUUUGAACUACAAAAGCAAAUCCCCGCUGAGCCUUCAUGCAAAGCCAAACCUGAUGUGGAGAAGAUGAGGAUAAAUGUCUUUAGUGAGGCAGUUCGGACAGGUAAAGGGAGUGAUCAUCAGGUGUUUUUACAGCCAGAACAUGAAAACAGUGUAGAUAUUAUAAGCCUGGCUAGCUGUCUGUGUCUCACAUAGAUUAUUUAUCGGGAUACGUUCACAUUGAUGUGUAAACAAAUUAGCACAGCGGCCGCCAGUGAGGCUUUGCUUUCAUAGAGGAGGUUUAGCGAGCAGGAAUUACAGUGUGUCUUACGUCAAAUGUGAUUUUAGGAAACCUCUGGUUGUUGAAAACAUUGGAAAUUUGGAAAAACUGCAAGGCUGACUUGAAAAUUUGAGCUGUUAUAAUGCCUGUGGAUAAACUAGUAGAGCUUGGUGCCAACAACUUCAAGGUCGUGGGUCACUCUCAGGGAUAAAAUAGAUAGCUUGAAUGCUCUGUAAGUCAUUGUGAAUAACAGUGUCUGCCAAAUACUUAGAUAUUUAGACAAUGGCUUAACUUGAUACAAAGUUAGCAAUGGUUUUAGUAUACAGUGACCUGAAGGGUUUUAAACUGUAAAUGUUUUGCUGCUAAACUUAAUGCUAAUGAACAUUGACAAUGCUUUGACAAUCUCCUUGAUUUAUUAUUAUUAUUAUUAUUAUUUUUUUUUUAUUUUUUUUUUUUUGCAUGAACUACUCAUAAUGCUCACCCUCUUGUUGUUUGAACUGUGUAUUACACACACACACACACACACAUAUAUAUAUAUAUAUAUAUAUAUAUAUAUAUAUAUAUAUAUAUAUAUAUAUAUAUAUAUAUAUAUAUGUAUGUGUGUGUGUGUGUGUGUGUGUGUUAUAUACUUAUUUCUGCAGUGCAUUUCUGGGGGUUAAAGAGGUGAUGUUUGUACACUUUUGUACAUAACUUUUUGUCAGUCC